CUCCAGAACACGUCAAGAGAG
This 21-nucleotide microRNA is filed under the name Pristionchus pacificus. RNAcentral's name for it is "ppc-miR-2248". The record is from miRBase by way of RNAcentral. Lineage: Eukaryota; Metazoa; Nematoda; Chromadorea; Rhabditida; Neodiplogasteridae.